AUGCCGCGUCGCGUGCGACCACGCACGGGCACGGCCGGCGGCGAGGACCGCCUCAGCACACUACCCGACGAUCUCAUCCGCCUCAUAGUACGCAGGCUGGACACCCGCACCGCGCUGUCCACCGCCGUCCUGGCCAGGCGUUGGGCGCACAUCCCCCGCGAUCUGCCGGAGCUCGACUUCAGG
RNAcentral lists this ribosomal RNA (183 nucleotides) under Triticum aestivum (bread wheat). RNAcentral's name for it is "partial small subunit ribosomal RNA". Lineage: Eukaryota; Viridiplantae; Streptophyta; Magnoliopsida; Poales; Poaceae. The record is from RNAcentral.